RNAcentral lists this ribosomal RNA (393 nucleotides) under uncultured bacterium. RNAcentral's name for it is "partial 16S ribosomal RNA". It matches the Rfam family "Bacterial small subunit ribosomal RNA", at positions 523 to 918 of the family's 1533-position model. The record is from RNAcentral.
AUACGUAGGGGGCGAGCGUUGUCCGGAAUGAUUGGGCGUAAAGGGCGCGUAGGCGGCCCGGUAAGUCUGGAGUGAAAGUCCUGUUUUUAAGAUGGGAAUUGCUUUGGAUACUGUCGGGCUUGAGUGCAGGAGGGGUAAGUGGAAUUCCCAGUGUAGCGGUGAAAUGCGUAGAGAUUGGGAGGAACACCAGUGGCGAAGGCGACUUACUGGACUGUAACUGACGCUGAGGCGCGAAAGUGUGGGGAGCAAACAGGAUUAGAUACCCUGGUAGUCCACACUGUAAACGAUGAGUGCUAGGUGUUGGGUAGCGAUAUUCAGUGCCGAAGUAAACACAAUAAGCACUCCGCCUGGGGAGUACGGUCGCAAGACUGAAACUCAAAGGAAUUGACGGGG